UACGGAGGGUGCAAGCGUUAAUCGGCAUUACUGGGCGUAAAGCGCGCGUAGGCGGCUUGUUAAGCAAGCUGUGAAAGCCCCGGGCUCAACCUGGGAACUGCAUUUAGAACUGGCAAGCUAGAGUAUGGCAGAUGAGUGUGGAAUUUCCGGUGUAGCGGUGAAAUGCGUAGCGAUCGGAAGGAACACCAGUGGCGAAGGCGACACUCUGGGCCAAUACUGACGCUGAGGUGCGAAAGCGUGGGGAGCAAACAGG
This 253-nucleotide unclassified non-coding RNA is filed under the name uncultured Cellvibrionales bacterium. RNAcentral's name for it is "contains 16S-23S intergenic spacer region". It matches the Rfam family "Bacterial small subunit ribosomal RNA", at positions 524 to 776 of the family's 1533-position model. Lineage: Bacteria; Pseudomonadati; Pseudomonadota; Gammaproteobacteria; Cellvibrionales. The record is from RNAcentral.